Molecule: long non-coding RNA, 1012 nt
Filed under: Equus caballus (horse)
Lineage: Eukaryota; Metazoa; Chordata; Mammalia; Perissodactyla; Equidae
Description: lncRNA (ENSECAG00000040166.3)
Source: RNAcentral
CUGUUCUGGAACUUACUGUCAAUGGAUCAUAAAGCACAUGCUCUUUUGUGCAAGAUUUCUUUCUCUCAGCAUGAUGCUUUCAAGACUUGUCCAUGCUGUUGUGAGAAUCAAUGGUUAUUUCCAUAGGAUUUGUUAUUAUUCAGGUAUGGUGAGGCCAACAGGUGAAGAGAUGACUGCCAUUGAAGAGACAGUUUGGCAUACUCACAGAUCCCAAGAGGAGGGGCGUGCCACGCCAUAGGGGGCCACAACAUGGGGGCAGUCAGGAGUCAGUCAGGAGGCAAUGGUGGCUAACUGUGCGGAGAGCCUUUGGUGUGGUUUCUGCAGGAAGGAGCAGGACAAAGGGGAGCUGAUGAAGAACCGUUAUAUGAAGAGGAUCCUGGAGGAAUCUUCUCCACAGUCAAGGAGUGAAAUAAGGAAUGUGAUGACCACCCAAACAGAGAGUCUGUGCUGAUAGCCAUCAUCAAUGACAACUGAAGGAUCAGGAAGGAGUUCAUCACCCAGCCCUCCUGUUGGGCCUCUGGGGCUUCACUUCCUCUGCGCUGACGCUGAUACUGUUUCCACUCAGGCCUCCUGCUGUGAGCAUGACAGCCACAGCUGCCCUGCGGGCAUCCUCUCAGCUUGGAGCUUCCCAAGAAUGAGAAUCCCUUCUUCUGGAGCCCACAGUGUACUUCUCAGUGAUUCUGGUCAGGUCGCUUUUUUCUGGUCCCUUCUGUGGUCAGGGGAAUGCUGUUUUUGGCCACGUAUGAGGCUGCACUAUUGGUAUCAGAAUUGAGGGUGGGUGGUGGUCUCCCAGAGGAAUACGAGAAGCAGGGAGAACGAAUGGGUGCCCAGGCAGAAGGCAAACCUGUCUUCUUUGUCCCUGGCAUCAACUGACCCAUUCAAAACGAGGUGGGUCACUCCGGGUGCAUUUUGUAACUGAUUAUGUAUAUAUUUGCGUUGGCUACUAAGACACUCAGAGCUAAUAUUUUUCUUCCAAUUUUAUUUGGAAUAUAUUCUCAUUGUAAAACAUCUG